GUCCACAGCUACUGGUCUGCAGCUGAUCUUAUGGUGGCAGUUGUAGCAUUCCUCUGUGGGAUAGAAACUGUUACACAAGAGGGAGGCUGGACAACAUGAAAACAAAGCUUUUAAUAUGAAUGAAAAUA
Alexandromys fortis (reed vole) is the source of this 128-nucleotide small nucleolar RNA. RefSeq annotates it as small nucleolar RNA SNORA41. NCBI's taxonomy places the organism in Eukaryota, Metazoa, Chordata, Mammalia, Rodentia, Cricetidae. The transcript has a single exon. The record is from RefSeq and is a predicted model, not a curated record.